AUCCAGCUGGCGAGUCUCAAAUAGGAUGGGACGCGCGUCCUGGAU
Molecule: non-coding RNA, 45 nt
Organism: Schistosoma rodhaini
Lineage: Eukaryota; Metazoa; Platyhelminthes; Trematoda; Strigeidida; Schistosomatidae
Source: Rfam